GGCUAGGCCUUGAAUGAUAAAACAAAAGCAUGUUGGCUAGCUAGCAAGGAAAGCGUGGUGAAAAGGAUGGUGCUAGGCUCCAAUGAGAGGAAGCACUGCGUCUGUACCUACAUACCAUGUAAUUGUUUUAUACUUGAGAACAAAUGGUGUUGAAGAAUCCAGCAUCAACGUAUCUGCCAAGAUCUCUGAAGUGACUAAACUUAGGCACUGGAGGGGAUGCUUCUGAAUUGCUCCUGUCGGGAGUCCUCACGGCUGUUCCAGGAGUGAGUGCGGUUAUUCCCCAUGUGCUGAGCAGAGGCCUUUGCUCUGGGCAGGUUGAUGCUCACGCGAUGGCCCCGAAUGCAACCCAUGGGAACCUCUGAACAGCUUAGGGGCAAGCCAUUUGUGACUAGGAAAAAACCCCAAAAUAUGCUCAAGAAGACAUCUGAUCAUUGCCCACGCUUCUCAGUUGCCAUGGAAUGUUGGUAUCCUGACCGUGGGAAGAAGAUCAAUAAUCGUAUUUAAAUGUGGGCUGGGGACGGGGUGACUGGGUGACAGGCACUGAGGGGGGCACUUGAUGGGAUGAGCACUGGGUGUUAUACUAUAUGUUGGCAAAUCUAACUCCAAUAAAAAU
This is a long non-coding RNA of Canis lupus familiaris (dog), 613 nucleotides long. RefSeq lists it as uncharacterized. The record is from RefSeq and is a predicted model, not a curated record. The transcript has 5 exons. Lineage: Eukaryota; Metazoa; Chordata; Mammalia; Carnivora; Canidae.